ACCGGAACUGCAUCAGAAAUCUCCUUCAACUCCUCUUUUGUUAGCUUCAUCCUCAAUGCUUCAAUAUUGUCUACCAGGUUUUUAAUCUUAGUCGUCCCAGGGAUGGGAACUACAUCAUCCCCUUGAUUGAGAACCCAUGCAUGCAAGGGCAAGCUGAGCAGCACUGCAUCCAUAGUUUUUGGCCAAAUUUUCUAUUCGAGUAUAGAACAUCUUAUUCUUUUCCAAAUUUUCUCCUGCAAACCUUGGAUAUGAUUUCAGUAUAGUCUCUGAAGGCAAACUUUCCACAAC
Molecule: unclassified non-coding RNA, 288 nt
Filed under: Hevea brasiliensis (rubber tree)
Lineage: Eukaryota; Viridiplantae; Streptophyta; Magnoliopsida; Malpighiales; Euphorbiaceae
Source: RNAcentral